RNAcentral lists this long non-coding RNA (1867 nucleotides) under Homo sapiens (human). RNAcentral describes it as "HSALNT0346382". Lineage: Eukaryota; Metazoa; Chordata; Mammalia; Primates; Hominidae. The record is from RNAcentral.
CCUCAGCCUCCCAAGUAGCUGAGAUUACAGGCAUGCACCACGCCUGGCUACUUUUUUGUAUUUUUAGUGGAGAUGGAGUUUUGCCAUGUUGGCCAGGCAGGUCUCGAACUCCUGACCUCAGGUGAUCUGCCUGCCUUGGCCUCCCAAAGUGCUGAGAUUACAGGCAUGAGCCACAGCGCACAGCCGCAUCUCAAUUUUUUGCAGGUUACAGCCCAGCCUAUUUAGGAAGCUGUUCAAGACCCUCCACCCUUACCCUUCCCUUACUCUGCUGAUAUUUGAUGUCACCAUCUCUCGAUACCAGCUUGCACAGAACUGGAGCCAGUUUCCUUCCUGUGUUCCAGCCUUGCUAUUCUUUUACCUACCUCGAAAGUCUCUUCACUCAUUUGAUAAUGUGCAUUCUAUCCAACUGAAGUUCUGACUCCAUUUUUAUUUGAUUUAAUAUACUUUUUAGGCCGGGCGCGGUGGCUCAUGCCUGUAAUCCCAGCACUUUGGGAGGCCGAGGCAGGCGGAUCACGAGAUCAGGAGAUCAAGACCAUCCUGGCUAACAUGUCACCAUGGAGCAACCAGGGCCGCAUUUACCCUUCCACCUGAAACAACAGCAACCACAAAAAACAGACAUAAUAUACAAAACAUUGGUUUUCAAGAUGCUGGACAUCAGGUAAUGAAGGACAGUGACUCCUGUGAGAUAGGAGGGAAAUGAGCUGACCCUACAAUUGCCUCAGCCUGUGAGGGUUCCCAGGCCAGGGCACAGGCAAGAGAGACUGAGGCAGAGCCCAGGGGAUUCCCUGGGUCAGGGAGACGGAGCUGAGAAUGGAGAAAGGCCACAGGGACUAAAGUUCUUGGGGCAAAGUCCCAAAGAAGAGAGAGCUGCGUGGAGAGAGGGAGAGAGCUCAGAGAUCUGCAGAGGGUCUUCCUGAGCCUUCACUGAGUGCUGAGCAGUGCGGAUGUGCCAGGGAACGAUCAGACGCUGGGGACAGAACCACCCAACAGAAUUCAAGAUAAGAGUGCUCAGUGCUGACACGGGACCAGGACCAGGGUCUGUUUCCACCAGCCAGAGCAGAAGCCUGAAGAGUCCCAGACACCAGGGAGGCUUCCCAGAAGAAACUAGCCUCAGCAGUGAGGAAUAAUUAGCCUAGACUGAGCACAGCGCCAGAAUCCCCCACCAAAUCAUGACAGCAACCCGAAGGGAUUGAACUGUUUCCAACAAACUUAACUGCAUCGCAGAACAAAGCACACAAUUAUUUAUAGGAACACAAACAUAUCCAGCACCCAGCGAAGUAAAAUUCAUGGUGUCUGACAUCCAAUAAAAAAUAACCAGUCAUGCAAAGAAGGAAAAUAUGACCCAUAGUAAGGAGAUAAAUACAUCAAUCAAAACUGACAUAGAACUGACACAGAAGCCAGGAUUAGCAGACAAGGACAUUAAAACAGUUAUUAUAACUGUGUUCCAUAUGUUCAAAAAGUCAAGGAGAGACAUAUUUGCCUUUUUGCUUUUUUUCUCUGCUGAAUAAUUCUGUCCAAAAACUAAGAUCACGGAGGCUCAAGUCGAUCUGCCUGGUUCAAUUUCCAGCUCUGAGACUUACAGGCUCUCAUACAGUGUAGCCGGGGCUGGGGCUGGACACAGUGUCUGAGCUCUGGCAGGGUGAGGAGGUGCAGGUAUUAGGAGACAGAGCACACACCCAAGCGUGGCCUGAUUCAAAAAGGAAACAUGGAGAAGUUACAGCUGGAAGUUUGUCCAUCAGAGGCUCCUGAUCUAAUGCACCUGAGAAGCUUUGGGGAAGGUGAGGCUUCACCUCAGCACUUUUAUUUCCAGGGAUGGGACUCACUACCUACCACCCUCCUCCAUCUGACUAGUCCCUAUAGGAGUGCC